Otolemur garnettii (small-eared galago) is the source of this 109-nucleotide small nucleolar RNA. The record is from Ensembl. NCBI's taxonomy places the organism in Eukaryota, Metazoa, Chordata, Mammalia, Primates, Galagidae.
ACCAUUUUGUGGUUCAUAAGUGUGAUGAUUAGAUGUUCAUGCUAUUAUGUAAGAUAUGGCUCCCUGAAACCCUGUUAUGACGUUGGCACAUGCUAAUACCUGUUUGACC